RNAcentral lists this ribosomal RNA (253 nucleotides) under uncultured bacterium. RNAcentral's name for it is "partial 16S ribosomal RNA". It matches the Rfam family "Bacterial small subunit ribosomal RNA", at positions 524 to 776 of the family's 1533-position model. The record is from RNAcentral.
UACGGAGGGGGCUAGCGUUGUUCGGAAUUACUGGGCGUAAAGCGCACGUAGGCGGCUUUGCAAGUUAGAGGUGAAAGCCCGGGGCUCAACUCCGGAAUUGCCUUUAAAACUGCAUCGCUAGAAUUGUGGAGAGGUAAGUGGAAUUCCGAGUGUAGAGGUGAAAUUCGUAGAUAUCGGGAGGAACACCAGUGGCGAAGGCGGCUCUCUGGGCAGAUACCGACGCUGAGACGCGAAAGCGUGGGAAGCAAACAGG